This 1346-nucleotide ribosomal RNA is filed under the name Symphurus strictus (blackbelly tonguesole). RNAcentral describes it as "16S ribosomal RNA". It matches the Rfam family "Bacterial large subunit ribosomal RNA", at positions 216 to 2486 of the family's 2925-position model. The record is from RNAcentral. Lineage: Eukaryota; Metazoa; Chordata; Actinopteri; Pleuronectiformes; Cynoglossidae.
AAAACAUUUUUCCCCCUAAGUAAGAGCGACUGAAAAGGGUAAUAGAGCUAUAACAGAAGUACCGCAAGGGAAAGUUGAAAGAGGGAUUAAAUAGCCCAAUAAAGUUAAGAAAAGCAGAGAUUAACCCUCGUACCUUUUGCAUCAUGAUUUAGCCAGACCUCUUAAGCAAAGAGCCCUUUAGUUUAAUACCCCGAACCUGAGCGAGCUACUCCUAACCUGCCUAUUUUCUAGGGCUAACCCUCCUCUGUAGCAAAAGAGUGGGGAGAGUUAUGAGUAGAGGUGAUAAACCUAUCGAGCUCAGUUUUAGCUGGUUUUCUGGGAAAUGAAUAGAAGUUCAGCCUUCUACCUUCUUAUUCUAUAAAGUAGUUUUAUUAAAGACUAAUAUUAAUAGUAACAAGAAGCUAGAAGAGUUAGUCAAAGGGGGUACAGCCCCUUUGAAACAGAUACAACUUUGUUAGGGAGGAUAAAGAUCAUAUAUUAAAAGGGAAUAAUGUCUAGUGGGCCUAAAAGCAGCCACCAACUCUAGAUAGCGUCACAGCUCAAACUCCUCCUCAUCCCUAUUAUUCUGAAUUAGAUCUCUCAGUCCCCCACCCCUACCAGGAUAUGUUAUGCUAUCAUAACAGAAAUUAUGCUAAAAUGAGUAAUAAGAGGGGACUAGUCCCUCUCCUAAUACACCCGUGUAACUCGGAGCAGACCACCUACCGAGACUUAAGCGACCCCAAAACCAGAGGGACAUGUGUUCUAGGCUUGGUUGCAAGAAAAUUAUUCAAAACUUGAUCGUUGACCCUACACUGGAGUGUAUAUUAGGAAAGACCCAAAAAGGGGGAAGGAAUUCAGCAAACAAAAGCCUCGCCUGUUUACCAAAAACAUCGCCUCUUGCUCUUCCCAUAUAAGAGGUCAGACCUGCCCAGUGAUAUACAAUAUUUAACGGCCGCGGUAUUUUGACCGUGCUAAGGUAGCGCAAUCACUUGUCAUUUAAAUGAAGACCUGUAUGAAUGGUUUCACGAGGGCUUAACUGUCUCCCCCCUUUGGUCAAUGAAAUUGAUCUCUCCGUGCAGAAGCGGAGAUUCACUCAUAAGACGAGAAGACCCUAUGGAGCUUUAAAUAAAUAUGUGUGCCAAGUCAAUGAAGCAUAUAAGACUAUGAAACUUAUUGGCCUUUACAUACUAUUUUUGGUUGGGGCGACCCUGGGGAAUACAAAACCCCCAUGCGGAUUAAGGACACCUUGAGACUAGAUUCUCCCCCUUAAAACCCAGAAAGUCAUUUCUACUCAACAGAAUUUCUGACCCACAGGAUCCGGCACAGCCGACCAACGAACCUAGUUACCCUAGGGAUAACAGCGCAAU